GGUAUCAUCGUAGUACUUGCAGUUAAAAAUUGAUCAUAAUGGCAUUCCUCCCAAACCUUGGCUCUAUCAAGGGAUGUAGAUACCGUAACUGGUUGAGCUUCUUUGACAAACAUUUUUAGCUCUGGUGGGUGCAAACCAUUUAUUAAUAUAGAUAAUAUAAAUACCUCCGACAUUUGGUGGUUCGGCCACUUACUAAGUAUAUCAGCCACUCGGCCAUAGUACGAUUCCACCGCCUCUCUUAGGAUCAUUUUGCUGUUCAUCAACCUUCCUCGAAGACGGUCUUCAAAACCAAUUAGUCAAAAAUGGGUCAAAAAUGCAUUCUUCAAUGCUUCCUAGUUUGAAAUUUGACCAACUAGUUGACGGUUAUACCAUUCAAACGUCGUAUCCUUUAAGGUUGCUAGCAACCAUCGUAACAAAACAUCCUCGGUUCUCCCAUUAUUGGCGACAUAUGCUG
RNAcentral lists this long non-coding RNA (454 nucleotides) under Physcomitrium patens. RNAcentral's name for it is "long non-coding RNA (PPAT_LNC014242)". The record is from RNAcentral. Lineage: Eukaryota; Viridiplantae; Streptophyta; Bryopsida; Funariales; Funariaceae.